AACUAUUAACGGUGGAUCACUCGGCUCAUAGAUCGAUGAAGAAGGCAGCUAGCUGCCAUAAGCGGUGUGAAUUGCAGGACACACUGAACACUAGAUUUUCGAACGCACAUUGCACCUUCGGGUCUUUCCCGAAGGUACGCCUGUCUGAGGGUCGGAAUAAAAUUGACUCAUAAAACGUGUGAAGGCUUGUAUCGAGAGAUAAGCACAUUAUGUUGCUAUACUUUCGUCGAGCAUGAGACGUUUAGCGCAAGAAACUAGUCGGUACUUGUUGCUUGUCAUGUACGGCAUAAAAGUGGCUAAAAGCGCGCAACACCACAUGUUGCCGCUUCACUUUCAGCCCUUGAGUUACAUGAUGAGUUUGAGUACUAACGCUACUUCUCGCUGAAUCAAUCAUUGGUAAUCAUUAGUAAUUACCUCCCAUUCUAACCGUCGACCUCAGAUCAGACGAGAUUACCCACUGAAUUUAAGCAUAUAAAUAAGUGGAGGAAAAGAAACCAAAAGGGAUUCCCUGAGUAAUGGCGAACGAAAGGGGAAAAGCUCAGCGCUAAGUCCUACCGUCUACUGGCGUGUAGGAGAUGCAGCGUGAAUGUAGCAGUGCAUCCCGAGUGUCGGUCAGUGCAAGUUCCUUUGAAAAGGGCUUUUCCAAAGUGGGUGCUAGACCCAUAGCGCGGACGUCUUGUACACUUGGGCAAACUGUUGCAUACUAGAGUCAGGUUGCUUGAGAGUGCAGCCUAAAGCAGGUGGUAAACUUCACCUAAGGCUAAAUAUUACUAUGAGACCGAUAGCAAACAAGUACCGUGAGGGAAAGUUGCAAAGAACUUUGAAGAGAGAGUUCAAAAGGACGUGAAACCGUUAGUAGGUAAACGGGUGGAACCACGAAGUGAGCUUGGAAAAGAGGAUUCAACUGUCCCGAGUGAGACAGUUGCUGGCGUGAUAUGUGGCUCUCACGGGAGUGCAGACGUCGGUGACAGUACGUUUCUCUCGGGUGGUGCAUUUUCUCAGUUUCCCUGCGAGGCCAUGACUAGUUGGAUGGCUGGAGCGACCGUAUGCGAGAGCUGGUUGAAGGUGCCUGGCUGGAUACUUGUGUCCUGUCCAGUGUUAUAGCUUCCAUCUCGGCGUCUGCUUCGAGCGUACCGACUAGGGAAAACUUCCCGUUUAUGCGGGGUCUGCUAGUAAAGCGCGUUGUCUGGCUGUAGCUGUGGUGAGUGCUGCUCGAUGGGUUAGAUUUUGGUUUAUGCCAGAAUCUGCUCUCUUGAAGUCCGCCAAUGCUGGUUGCGGUUCAGGCAGCGUGUGGCAAUCGAUGGCUAGUAGGUCGGUAUCCACCUGACCCGUCUUGAAACACGGACCAAGGAGUCUAACAUGCCUGCGAGUCACUCAGUCUUGAAUAGGCUCGAGAGGCGCAAUGAAAGUAAAGUUGAUUGAUGGUGAUUCCGGUGCAUUGCCGUGUAAGCGGCGGUGCUUGGACGCAACCAUGGCCGGCUCAUUUUGCUUUUUGACAAUUGAGCUGAGUUAUAGCGUACACGUUGGUACCCGAAAGAUGGUGAACUAUGCCUGGGCAAGACGAAGCCAGAGGAAACUCUGGUGGAGGUCUGUAGCGAUUCUGACGUGCAAAUCGAUCGUCAGACCUGGGUAUAGGGGCGAAAGACUAAUCGAACCAUCUAGUAGCUGGUUCCCUC
RNAcentral lists this unclassified non-coding RNA (1676 nucleotides) under Arachnida environmental sample. RNAcentral describes it as "sequence contains 5.8S rRNA gene, ITS2, 28S rRNA gene". The stretch from base 431 to 1676 matches the Rfam family "Eukaryotic large subunit ribosomal RNA", at positions 1 to 961 of the family's 3401-position model. The record is from RNAcentral. Lineage: Eukaryota; Metazoa; Arthropoda; Arachnida.